RNAcentral lists this ribosomal RNA (447 nucleotides) under uncultured bacterium. RNAcentral's name for it is "bacterial SSU rRNA". It matches the Rfam family "Bacterial small subunit ribosomal RNA", at positions 8 to 502 of the family's 1533-position model. The record is from RNAcentral.
AGAGUUUGAUCCUGGCUCAGAACGAACGCUGGCGGCAGGCUUAACACAUGCAAGUCGAGCGCACUCUUCGGAGUGAGCGGCGGACGGGUUAGUAACGCGUGGGAACGUGCCCUUCUCUAAGGAAUAGCCUCGGGAAACUGAGAGUAAUACCUUAUACGCCCUUCGGGGGAAAGAUUUAUCGGAGAAGGAUCGGCCCGCGUUAGAUUAGAUAGUUGGUGGGGUAAUGGCCUACCAAGUCUACGAUCUAUAGCUGGUUUUAGAGGAUGAUCAGCAACACUGGGACUGAGACACGGCCCAGACUCCUACGGGAGGCAGCAGUGGGGAAUCUUGGACAAUGGGCGCAAGCCUGAUCCAGCCAUGCCGCGUGAGUGAUGAAGGCCUUAGGGUCGUAAAGCUCUUUCGCCAGAGAUGAUAAUGACAGUAUCUGGUAAAGAAACCCCGCUAACU